RNAcentral lists this ribosomal RNA (446 nucleotides) under uncultured bacterium. RNAcentral describes it as "partial 16S ribosomal RNA". It matches the Rfam family "Bacterial small subunit ribosomal RNA", at positions 338 to 795 of the family's 1533-position model. The record is from RNAcentral.
CCUACGGGAGGCAGCAGUAGGGAAUUUUCGGCAAUGGGGGGAACCCUGACCGAGCAACGCCGCGUGAACGAAGAAGUUAUUCGUAAUGUAAAGUUCUUUUAACAGGGAAGAAAGCUAAAUUGGACGGUACCUGCCGAAUAAGCUCCGGCUAACUACGUGCCAGCAGCCGCGGUAAUACGUAGGGAGCGAUCGUUAUCCGGAAUUAUUGGGCGAAAAGGGUGCGUAGAUGGCAUAGUAAGUCUUUUGUAAAAAUGCUGGGCUCAACCCAGUAGGGCAAAAGAUACUGCAAAGCUAGAGUAUGACAGAGGCAAGUGGAAAUACAUGUGUAGCGGUAGAAUGCGUAAAUAUAUGUAAGAACACCAGUGGCGAAGGCGACUUGCUGGGUCGAGACUGACAUUGAGGCACGAAAGCGUGGGGAGCAAACAGGAUUAGAUACCCUUGUAGUC